UCCUCGUUUAAGCGAGGCAGUCUGUCCAGAGUGCUCCAAACUCUCGUUUGAGUGGCAACAGGACACAAGGGUUGCGCUCGUUGCGGGACUUAACCCAACAUCUCACGACACGAGCUGACGACAGCCAUGCAGCACCUGUGCAAACGGGUCUUGCGACCUCGUCAGACUUUCAUCCUUCUACUAUUUGCAUGUCAAGGCCAGGUAAGGUUCUUCGCGUUGCAUCGAAUUAAGCCACAUACUCCACCGCUUGUGCAGGCCCCCGUCAAUUUCUUUGAGUUUUAAUCUUGCGACCGUACUUCCCAGGCGGCAUAUUUAUCGCGUUAGCUUCGCCACAAAAGGGGUCGAAUCCUUUUACAGCAAAUAUGCACCGUUUACAGCUAGGACUAC
This 387-nucleotide unclassified non-coding RNA is filed under the name uncultured Verrucomicrobiae bacterium. Its description in RNAcentral is "contains 16S-23S intergenic spacer region". The record is from RNAcentral. Lineage: Bacteria; Pseudomonadati; Verrucomicrobiota; Verrucomicrobiia.